Non-coding RNA from Echinops telfairi (small Madagascar hedgehog), 208 nucleotides. The record is from Rfam. Lineage: Eukaryota; Metazoa; Chordata; Mammalia; Afrosoricida; Tenrecidae.
CUAGGGGGAACCGAAAACAGUUCUAGACAGACCUGUGGUUUUAUAGCAGUUUUGGCAGUCAACUUCAGCUUGUGCCUAAACAGACGGCCACGGUGGCCUGGCCGCCUGCGGGGGACGCCCAGCCCCUUCCCCUCCCCAGGCUGCUGCAGCCCCUCCUAAUUAGGCCAUUUCCCCCUUGGUGCGGGCUUUGCGGGUGCCCGCAGAAAGG